This 95-nucleotide transfer RNA is filed under the name Brucella abortus. Its description in RNAcentral is "tRNA-???(gt)". RNAcentral also lists the same sequence under 4 other names. Lineage: Bacteria; Pseudomonadati; Pseudomonadota; Alphaproteobacteria; Hyphomicrobiales; Brucellaceae. The record is from RNAcentral.
GCAGCGUCUGGAAGAGCUUGGCUAUGGCAAUCCCGUUGUCGAGGGAGAGGGGCGCAAUCAGAUUCGCGUGGAGGUUCCGGGCCUUUACGAUGCGC